GGAAAAUUCCCGAAAGGAGGGCGGGGAUGCCGUGACCGACACAGGGGCAGAGUCCCCCGUCCGCGGGCCUCUCCUCGCAGCUGGGAGUAGGUGCAGCUGCGUGGAAAAAGGGCGGCAGCACGCAAACACACCGGGCUCUGACGGCUCACACAGCAGAAGCUGGCGUGGUGAACCCGCAGGAACCCACAGACUCACCAGGGACCCAGGCUUCUACUGCAAGGCCGCGAGUGAACUCUGGAGCUCCGACGACCUUCGACUAUUACAUAAAUUCGUUCCAAGUAAACAGAGGAGGUGAGGCUCCGGGGCUGCUUCCUGUGAGAGAUCUUUCUGGAAAUUCCUCCCAGGGCUGCUGCUUUUUUCUGAUCGACCGGGACUUGGUUGCGUGGUCAAGGGAAGCCAGAACAUGUGGACAGUCAGCUGGGGUGCUGAGAUGGGGCAAGUGUGGACUGUCGAGUGUCUGGCUUCCAUCCGGCCCAGAAGAACAGAAGAAAGGGGACUCCUUCCCAGAAUGAUGAGAUGACACUGGACAACUUAAUGGAAAAUCCUUGGGGCCCACUGAGGCAUUAAAUAGUUGGUUUCCACAUGGAGGCCUCCAUCGCUGGG
This 603-nucleotide long non-coding RNA is filed under the name Zalophus californianus (California sea lion). RNAcentral describes it as "lncRNA (ENSZCAG00015017715.1)". The record is from RNAcentral. Lineage: Eukaryota; Metazoa; Chordata; Mammalia; Carnivora; Otariidae.